Molecule: ribosomal RNA, 445 nt
Filed under: uncultured bacterium
Lineage: Bacteria
Description: partial 16S ribosomal RNA
Rfam family: Bacterial small subunit ribosomal RNA
Source: RNAcentral
GUAGGGAAUAUUGGGCAAUGGAGGCAACUCUGACCCAGCCAUGCCGCGUGCAGGAUGACGGCCCUCUGGGUUGUAAACUGCUUUUAUACGGGAAGAAAAAAUACUACGUGUAGUAUACUGACGGUACCGUAAGAAUAAGGAUCGGCUAACUCCGUGCCAGCAGCCGCGGUAAUACGGAGGAUCCAAGCGUUGUCCGGAUUUAUUGGGGUUAAAGGGUGAGUAGGCGGAUCUUUAAGUCAGUUGUGAAAGCCUGCAGCUUAACUGUAGAAUUGCCAUUGAAACUGAAGAACUUGAAUGUGGUUAAAGUAGGCGAAAUGUAUCAUGUAGCGGUGAAAUGCUUAGAUAUGAUACAGAACACCGAUAGCGAAGGCAGCUUGCUGAACCAUUAUUGACGCUGAGGCACGAAAGCGUGGGGAGCGAACAGGAUUAGAUACCCGGGUAGUCC